AGAGCGAACGCUGGCGGCAGGCCUAACACAUGCAAGUCGAGCGCCCGUAGCAAUACGGGAGCGGCAGACGGGAUAGUAACACGUGGGAACGCGCCCUUCGGUUCGGAAUAACUCAGGGAAACUUGAGCUAAUACCGGAUACGCCCUUACGGGGAAAGAUUUAUUGCCGAAGGAACGGCCCGCGUCCGAUUAGCUAGUUGGUGAGGUAAUGGCUCACCAAGGCGACGAUCGGUAGCUGGUCUGAGAGGAUGACCAGCAUCACUGGGACUGAGACACGGCCCAGACUCCUACGGGAGGCAGCAGUGGGGAAUAUUGGACAAUGGGCGCAAGCCUGAUCCAGCCAUGCCGCGUGGAUGAUGAAGGCCUUAGGGUUGUAAAGUCCGUUUUAACGGGGAAGAUAAUGACGGUACCGUAGAAUAAGCCCAGGCUAACUUCGCGCCAGCAGCCGC
Molecule: ribosomal RNA, 448 nt
Filed under: uncultured bacterium
Lineage: Bacteria
Description: SSU rRNA
Rfam family: Bacterial small subunit ribosomal RNA
Source: RNAcentral